RNAcentral lists this ribosomal RNA (320 nucleotides) under uncultured bacterium. RNAcentral describes it as "bacterial SSU rRNA". It matches the Rfam family "Bacterial small subunit ribosomal RNA", at positions 32 to 342 of the family's 1533-position model. The record is from RNAcentral.
AAUCAACGCUGGCGGCGUGCCUCAGACAUGCAAGUCGAACGAUUAAAGCUCUCUUCGGAGAGUGUAUAGAGUGGCGCACGGGUGAGUAACACGUAAGUAAUCUACCUUUGAGUGGGGAAUAACAGUCGGAAACGACUGCUAAUACCGCAUAAUGCAGCGGCAUCGCAAGAUGACAGUUGUUAAAGGAGCAAUCCGCUUAAAGAGGAGCUUGCGGCAGAUUAGCUAGUUGGUAAGGUAAUGGCUUACCAAGGCUACGAUCUGUAUCCGGUCUAAGAGGACGGUCGGACACACUGACACUGAAUAACGGGUCAGACUCCUAC